This is a small nucleolar RNA of Centropristis striata (black sea bass), 68 nucleotides long. RefSeq annotates it as small nucleolar RNA SNORD37. The record is from RefSeq and is a predicted model, not a curated record. NCBI's taxonomy places the organism in Eukaryota, Metazoa, Chordata, Actinopteri, Perciformes, Serranidae. The transcript has a single exon.
GCAAGUGAUGAUUUAAUCAUUCUUCACUUUGACCUGAGUUAACUGUGAUGAUAACCUCAACUCUGAGC